ACGGGAGGCAGCAGUGGGGAAUAUUGCACAAUGGGGGAAACCCUGAUGCAGCGACGCCGCGUGAAGGAUGAAGUAUUUCGGUAUGUAAACUUCUAUCAGCAGGGAAGAAGAUGACGGUACCUGACUAAGAAGCCCCGGCUAACUACGUGCCAGCAGCCGCGGUAAUACGUAGGGGGCAAGCGUUAUCCGGAUUUACUGGGUGUAAAGGGAGCGUAGACGGCGAUGCAAGCCAGAUGUGAAAGCCCGGGGCUCAACCCCGGGACUGCAUUUGGAACUGCGUGGCUGGAGUGUCGGAGAGGCAGGCGGAAUUCCUAGUGUAGCGGUGAAAUGCAUAGAUAUUAGGGGGAACACCAGUGGCGAAGGCGGCCUGCUGGACGAUGACUGACGUUGAGGCUCGAAAGCGUGGGGAGCAAACAGGAUUAGAUACCCUGGUAGUCCACGCCGUAAACGAUGACUACUAGGUGUCGGGUGGCAAGGCCAUUCGGUGCC
This 489-nucleotide ribosomal RNA is filed under the name uncultured bacterium. Its description in RNAcentral is "bacterial SSU rRNA". It matches the Rfam family "Bacterial small subunit ribosomal RNA", at positions 341 to 847 of the family's 1533-position model. The record is from RNAcentral.